GCGAACGCUGGCGGCAGGCCUAACACAUGCAAGUCGAACGAACCUUUCGGGGUUAGUGGCGGACGGGUGAGUAACACGUGGGAACGUGCCUUUAGGUUCGGAAUAACUCAGGGAAACUUGUGCUAAUACCGAAUGUGCCCUUCGGGGGAAAGAUUUAUCGCCUUUAGAGCGGCCCGCGUCUGAUUAGCUAGUUGGUUGAGGUAAUGGCUCACCAAGGCGACGAUCAGUAGCUGGUCUGAGAGGAUGAUCAGCCACAUUGGGACUGAGACACGGCCCAAACUCCUACGGGAGGCAGCAGUGGGGAAUCUUGCGCAAUGGGCGAAAGCCUGACGCAGCCAUGCCGCGUGAAUGAUGAAGGUCUUAGGAUUGUAAAAUUCUUUCACCGGGGACGAUAAUGACGGUACCCGGAGAAGAAGCCCCGGCUAACUUCGUG
Molecule: ribosomal RNA, 433 nt
Filed under: uncultured bacterium
Lineage: Bacteria
Description: partial 16S ribosomal RNA
Rfam family: Bacterial small subunit ribosomal RNA
Source: RNAcentral